Molecule: ribosomal RNA, 492 nt
Filed under: uncultured bacterium
Lineage: Bacteria
Description: partial 16S ribosomal RNA
Rfam family: Bacterial small subunit ribosomal RNA
Source: RNAcentral
AGUGAACGCUGGCGGUAGGCCUAACACAUGCAAGUCGAACGGCAGCACAGUAAGAGCUUGCUCUUACGGGUGGCGAGUGGCGGACGGGUGAGGAAUACAUCGGAAUCUACUUUUUCGUGGGGGAUAACGUAGGGAAACUUACGCUAAUACCGCAUACGACCUACGGGUGAAAGCAGGGGAUCUUCGGACCUUGCGCGAUUGAAUGAGCCGAUGUCGGAUUAGCUAGUUGGCGGGGUAAAGGCCCACCAAGGCGACGAUCCGUAGCUGGUCUGAGAGGAUGGUUCGGCACACUGGAACUUGAGCACGGUCCAGGCUCCUACGGGAGGCAGCAGUGGGGAAUAUUUGGCAAUGGGGGGCAGCCCGGACCCGGCCUACCGCCGUGGUGAAAGAAGCCCUUCGGUUGGUAAGGCCCUUUUUUGGGAAAGAAAAGCAGCAGGUUAAUACCCCGCUGUUCUGACGGUACCCAAAGAAUAAGCACCGGCUAACUUCGUG